AUUGAACGCUGGCGGCAUGCCUUACACAUGCAAGUCGAACGGCAGCACGGGGCAACCUGGUGGCGAGUGGCGAACGGGUGAGUAAUGCAUCGGAACGUGCCAUUGAGUGGGGGAUAACGUAGCGAAAGUUGCGCUAAUACCGCAUAUUCUGUGAGCAGGAAAGCAGGGGACCGCAAGGCCUUGCGCUCUUUGAGCGGCCGAUGUCAGAUUAGCUAGUUGGUGAGGUAACGGCUUACCAAGGCGACGAUCUGUAGCGGGUCUGAGAGGAUGAUCCGCCACACUGGAACUGAGACACGGUCCAGACUCCUACGGGAGGCAGCAGUGGGGAAUUUUGGACAAUGGGCGCAAGCCUGAUCUAGCCAUGCCGCGUGAGUGAAGAA
RNAcentral lists this ribosomal RNA (380 nucleotides) under uncultured bacterium. RNAcentral describes it as "bacterial SSU rRNA". It matches the Rfam family "Bacterial small subunit ribosomal RNA", at positions 30 to 412 of the family's 1533-position model. The record is from RNAcentral.